This 406-nucleotide ribosomal RNA is filed under the name uncultured bacterium. RNAcentral describes it as "partial 16S ribosomal RNA". It matches the Rfam family "Bacterial small subunit ribosomal RNA", at positions 30 to 526 of the family's 1533-position model. The record is from RNAcentral.
AUUGAACGCUGGCGGCAGGCCUAACACAUGCAAGUCGAACGAGUGGCGGACGGGUGAGUAAUGUAUGGGAAACUGCCCGAUGGAGGGGGAUAACUACUGGAAACGGUAGCUAAUACCGCAUACCAUCGGAUGUGCCCAUAUGGGAUUAGCUAGUAGGUGGGGUAAAGGCUCACCUAGGCGACGAUCCCUAGCUGGUCUGCGAGGAUGACCAGCCACACUGGAACUGAGACACGGUCCAGACUACUACGGGAGGCAGCAGUGGGGAAUAUUGCACAAUGGGCGAAAGCCUGAUGCAGCCAUGCCGCGUGUAUGAAGAAGGCCUUCGGGUUGUAAAGUACUUUCAGCGGGGAGGCGUUACCCGCAGAAGAAGCACCGGCUAACUCCGUGCCAGCCGCCGCGGUAAUAC